RNAcentral lists this long non-coding RNA (232 nucleotides) under Manihot esculenta (cassava). RNAcentral describes it as "long non-coding RNA (MESC_LNC004045)". The record is from RNAcentral. Lineage: Eukaryota; Viridiplantae; Streptophyta; Magnoliopsida; Malpighiales; Euphorbiaceae.
UCAAAGAAAAUCUGUCAUCUCAGGACGUUGGUGAUUUGUCAAAUCAGUUCAGCAAUCUUAAUGACAUCAAGAAAGCAUUGAAGGGGUGAUGGACUGAAACUUUUAUCUUUCUUCUGUGACACUAAGCAAUGAACCCUAAAUCAAUUGCAACACUAAGAUAGGAUUUGUGGAGUAAAACUUACGGAUGAACUCAAAGGCAUUGACGAGUGUAAGCGAUCCUCUUACAGCAAUA